GAAUCUGCCUUUAGGUCUGGGACAACAGAAGGAAACUUCUGCUAAUCCCGGAUGAGCCUAAUGGUAAAAGAUAAAUUGCCUGGAGAUGAGCUCGCGUCUGAUUAGCUAGUUGGUGAGGUAAAAGCUUACCAAGGCAACGAUCAGUAGCUGGUCUGAGAGGAUGAGCAGCCACACUGGGACUGAGACACGGCCCAGACUCCUACGGGAGGCAGCAGUGGGGAAUUUUCCGCAAUGGGCGAAAGCCUGACGGAGCAAGACCGCGUGGGGGAGGAAGGCUUUAGGGUUGUAAACCCCUUUUCUUUGGGAAGAAGUUCUGACGGUACCAAAGGAAUCAGCCUCGGCUAACUCCGUGCCAGCAGCCGCGGUAAUACGGAGGAGGCAAGCGUUAUCCGGAAUGAUUGGGCGUAAAGCGUCCGCAGGUGGCCAUGUAAGUCUGCUGUCAAAACCCAGGGCUCAACUCUGGUCAGGCAGUGGAAACUACAAAGCUAGAGUCUGGUAGGGGCAAAGGGAAUUCCCGGCGUAGCGGUGAAAUGCGUAGAUUUCGGGAAGAACAUCGGUGGCGAAAGCGCUUUGCUAGACCAGAACUGACACUCAGGGACGAAAG
Molecule: ribosomal RNA, 604 nt
Filed under: Lyngbya majuscula
Lineage: Bacteria; Bacillati; Cyanobacteriota; Cyanophyceae; Oscillatoriales; Microcoleaceae
Description: bacterial SSU rRNA
Rfam family: Bacterial small subunit ribosomal RNA
Source: RNAcentral